AUUGAACGCUGGCGGCAGGCCUAACACAUGCAAGUCGAACGAGUGGCGGACGGGUGAGUAAUGUCUGGGAAACUGCCUGAUGGAGGGGGAUAACUACUGGAAACGGUAGCUAAUACCGCAUACCAUCAGAUGUGCCCAGAUGGGAUUAGCUUGUGGGUGGGGUAACGGCUCACCAAGGCGACGAUCCCUAGAUGGUCUGAGAGGAUGACCAGCCAGACGGGAACUGCGACACGGUCCAGACGCCUACGGGAGGGAGCAGUGGGGAAUAUUGCAAAAUGGGCGCAAGCCUGAUGCAGCCAUGCGGCUUGUAUGAAGAAGGCCUUGGGGUUGUAAAGUACUUUCAGCGGGGAGGCGUUACCCGCAGAAGAAGCACCGGCUAACUCCGUGCCAGCAGCCGCGGUAAUAC
Molecule: ribosomal RNA, 406 nt
Filed under: uncultured bacterium
Lineage: Bacteria
Description: partial 16S ribosomal RNA
Rfam family: Bacterial small subunit ribosomal RNA
Source: RNAcentral